GCCUAGCUGUUGCGCUGUGGAAAAUUCGAUGUGCGCGGCAUCAAGACGUUUUAGAAUAGAAAAAUGAAGUUCAAGCCGAUAGCAUCCAGCGUUUGACAUCGCCAACAGAGAGAACUGAGACAGGUUUGUUCAGGUUAGUAGGAGUGUUUUCUAUUUAGUACAGUUGUUAGGUCCUUCACAUUGGGCGUUGCGUUAUUCUAAAUAAUCCAUCGCCAAGAAAAAAAAAUGCUGUUUUCUGAUGUGUGACAGAUCGAUUAACUUUUAUGAACUUUGACAUGAACGAGAUUGAUGUAUUUAAUACUUGAAAUAUGCCAUAUAUGUUGGUAUCGAACCCAUUUAGCCAGUCUCUCGUCAUGUCCAUUUGAUUCUUUAUAAGGAUGCUGUCAGUCAUUCUUAUUGAGAUGCUCUAGAAAUACCUAGACUAGUUAUCGUCUCAUAAUAUUGUCCUUAGUUAAAUAUAACGUACAGCUGAUUCUCAGAAAGAAGAAAAAUCAAGGUGGGGAUUGCAGGGAAGGAGGAGGGUUUUCUGCUGCGACAAAGGUGUGCGUGCGUGUGUGGUUGGCCUAGACUGCUUGGCGUGGCAAAGAAAGGAUGUUACGCAGUUCUUAUUUACAACCCAGUGUGCUUUGCCCUGACCCAUGGAAUGUUUUCAUCUCGAUCAGUCAGAAUGGCGUCUAACAGGGAAUCUGGGAUGACGAGGAACUACAACACUGCAAAGAUAAACUGGAGCAGAGAGGAGGAUUAUCAUUGGCUGGUGGUGUAUCAUUAGACUGCACCCUGCCAGCUGACCUACCUCACUUCCCCGCUUCGAUUGAGAUGUCAUACAGAGGAACAUGCUGGGAAUUGUGGUCCGUGUUAAAGUGUGUCAGGCUACUCUGAGGAUACGGGUUUACCCUCCCUUUUUCCUCAUGCAUCACUUCAGUUUUGAAUAUGGUGACAUAAUCCAUGUUGUUCUGCCGUCUGUCUCCAUGGUUACAGAUCUGUAGUCACAAAACAGGAAGAGGAAGUCUAUGGGCCACUGAUGCGCCUUCCCAUGAUUCUACAGUCCCUCUUGUUUUCUUUUAAUCAUAAAAGUCCUUUAUCAUAUCUUACCCUGCGCGUCCAUUCUCUAAUCUGUCUGAACACUGGUAUGAUGUUACCCUAUUAGUCACGUCAUUUGUGAUGUCCACAGAUUCAAGAUUCUUUCCGUCCCUGCCCAUAUUAUCUGACUUAGCUGUCCCCCGACAGCCUGGAUAUUUUAAACAGGCCGAGAUUAAAAACACGAGAAACAAAACAGCCCAGUUGUUACAUAACUGAAGCCGAGCUCUGCGAUGUGCCUUUAAAAGCUGCAGGCUGUCAGGUGAUCACAGGGGCACCGUCAUCUCAGUUCACCGAGACACCAGCGCGUCUCUCAGAGACGCAGAUGAGACGCCGAAGAUAUAAAAGAGGGUAGCUGACGGCUAGAGAAACAGUUAUAGGAGGACAGAGGGGAGAGGAGGUCACCAGAUAGACAGGAAAAGAAAGAAGCCAACUAUUAUCAAAGUGUCUCUAGCUCUCCGUCUCUCACUUCUCCACUCGUUAUGUUGGUUUCGAGAUGCUGUGUUUGUGUGCUCAUAACACAGAGUGAAAAAGACCCAAGAAUUAAGUGCUGCGUCACAAUGAGCGAGAGAGGCAAACUGAGAGAGAAGGAGACAUUGAGGGACUGUUGGAGCGUUUGCGGCAACUAUCUGUCUGGGUGAUCGCAAUGAGCGUGUUUGUAUGCGUCUAUUAGUGAUCUAUUUAUGUAGACAUGUGUCUGUCUGAAAAAAACAGCAGCGAUUCUGCUGUUGCAACAAGAUGAAAAUAGAGCGAGCAGGAGAGGGUGGAGGUCUGGUGGAGAGAGGGAGGAAGUGAGAGAGAGAGAGAGAGAGAGAGAGAUUUUGGAUUAGUUGCUACGUCACUUGUUCACGUCGAGAGGAAAACAGCAGCUAUGAGGAGAGGAUUCGGACAUGUGUGCUUUUCUCCUACCUGUGAGUGUAUCCCAGUCCUUUCGUCUGCUCGUCCGCCUUUCAUCCUCCUCUUUUUCUCUCCCACUUAUGCUCUCUCUGAUUUCACGUUUUAGUCCAUUUCUCCACAGUCGCAGCUCCAACAUGGAUGCUGAGAACGUGAUAGAGUUUCCUCGGAUUGUGUGCGCAGAGGUUCGGUGUUUGUCGACGUUUGCUGGGCGUGUGACGGUAUCACGAGGUCCGCAAAAAAAAACAGUUAUCAAAAAACGAUAACAAAACAAAUGCUGCUUUCGAAGGUUCUUGUGAGAAAUAGUUCAUGUAAAUAACAGUUUUAGCCUGUUAUUCGAACCACAUCGGAUACCGCAAGGGUUCGUACCGUAAUCGCAACACGCAUACUUACGGUUGAUACUGAUACCGAUAUAUAUAUAUACGUUACAUCUUUUCUGGCUUCUCUUAACAGGUAAGUCAAAUACAGCAGGCUAGUCACUGUAAGUCUGACCUGAGAUCAAUCUCUGGAUUAUUAAGACAUCAGGAGAGGCUACUUAGAUGUUACUUUAUGGCAUUUUAUGUCCCUUAUAUAAGGAUGGAUGAGUAGAAGAGCAGGUGCCUCGGCUAAAUUUGUGAUCUUUUGGCAGAGACGGGGGCAGAUGUCGCAUUUCCCUCAACAACAUUUGUUUCUGUAGUUUACUAGAAAUACUUGCAAAUAUUUGGAGCACUUACUUUUCAGUGCGUGACACAUUAUUUGAACUUCUCUCCCUGUGUCUUACUUUCAAUACAGGGGUUAAAUUGUGUCCUGAGGAGGGUUAUGUUGAUGAAAAGGGUAUAAAUGUCAUGGGAGGGAACCGGGGAAAGUACUAGAAUGAGAGGGAGAGAGAGAGCAAAAUUGUUUACCUUGCUCUCUUGGUGACUGUGCACUGGCAGGCGUCCAGUUCAAAUGCGCUAGACUUCCUAAUGCAGCUGCAUCAGAGAGAGGAGUGAUGGAGCUCUGCUCCUAUCAGGCGCCGGCUGGUGCUUCCGACUUUUUCGCAGCUCCAAAUCCCAUUGGAUUAGCCCUGGGAAGCAGCUGGAGGGAUUAAUCCGAUUGGCUGCAAGGUAAUAUAAUCAUUCGUGAGUACUCUUGUUAUGGUAGAGUGUUGUUGUUUAAGAGAGCUGUUACUUGGUAGAACCUCACUAUGGAAAAAUGUUAUUCAAAGGGAUAAUCCACCCAAAAAUGAAUAAUCCGUUCUCGUUUAUUCACUCGCACCUCUGUGCCAUUUUUCUUCUGUGGAACACAAAAGGAGAUAUUUUGUAGAAUGUCUGUGUUGUCCAUACACUGAAAGUCAAUGGGGUCCAAUUUAGUUGUUGUUGUUUAAAACAUGAGGAUGGGAAAAUUAUUUUAAUGCAGUUUAAAAGGAUAUGUCAUUAUUUAUUCCCCAUAUUGUCGUUCCAAAUAGUUUCGGUUCCCAUUGACUUUCAUUGGCAUUUGAUGUUUUUUUACAUCAAAUGAUUGUUUGAUUAGAAUUGUCUUCUUUUGUUGUUGUUGUUGUUGUUUGUUUGAUUUUGUCUUUUCUUAACAAUUCUGAUCACAAUCAGUGUCAAACAGUGCCAUGGUAAGUUUGUUACGUGCAUGCGAUUUGUUCUAUUAGGGAGACGGUCCUGUCCUAAAACCUGUUGCGUGUUGAGCGGUGUUGUCCCCAGGUUACGUCCGAGGGUGUGUGUGUGUGUGUGUGUGUGAGAGAGGCAGAGGCCUGCACUGCAGCUGUUAAUGCUGCAUUAGACGCCACAGACCGGAGCUCUGGCAAACGUUGGUAGCACCAGAGGGCCAGAGGGGAUUGCAUCCCUGUCUACCUCAUCAUCCCUAUCACGUGGGAGGGGCGUUUUUUGGUGGAUGAAGCUCGCAACAUGGCGGAAUUAACCUACCGGCGUCUGGGCCGAGGAAUGGGCUGUGACGCAGAUUGUAACUCAUGCUAUUUUUCCCUGAUAUUCAGCAUGGUUUUUUAGCUCCCCGUGAUAUUGAUAUCAGUGUAGGCCAUUUUCUUUUUGAAAGCUGUUCAAUAUAUAGGAUGUAUGUAUAGAAUUAUUAUUCAUUUGUUUGAUUGAUUGAUUACUGUACAACAUAAUGUCUAGGUAGUGGGCCCAAAAAGUAUUUGGACACUUACAAAUGUACAAAGUACAAAUAAAAUAGAAUAAAUGUAAAUA
Long non-coding RNA from Carassius auratus (goldfish), 4142 nucleotides. RefSeq lists it as uncharacterized. The record is from RefSeq and is a predicted model, not a curated record. Lineage: Eukaryota; Metazoa; Chordata; Actinopteri; Cypriniformes; Cyprinidae. The transcript is spliced from 4 exons.